UUUGCAGUAUGCAACUAAUAAUAUGUUGGUAUAAUUAAUCGCAUAAGUGGAAUAUACAUAUUGUGCGAAAUAUUAGUUUGAAGGUGUCCAUUUAAAGAAGCGCAAGUAAUAUAUGAGCGGCGAGCGACCCCCAGUAUGUUCACUUGGGUUAGUACAGCGGAGUCGCAUAUUGGUUAUAUGAAAACGAAAACUGUCCAAAAAACGUGGUAGUGAUCCCCUUAUUAUGCCUCAUGUUGAGGUUGUCGAUGGCACCAUGAAGUUGGAUAUUUUUUCUGCAGAUCCACAUCCCGAUGUUGCAGCAAGAGUCAGAUUGGAGUACUCCGUACAAAAGGAUGUGAUUUCAGGUGGCUGUGCAACAAAUUCUGCUGACUCAAAGUCAACGCAGGGGACCAGGGACAAUGUUGCUACAAAAGCAGCAACAACAAUCCAUACGUAGCUAUGUAUGUCCGUAUAUAACGGUAUGUAUGUGCGAACAUAUGUAUAUGCGUAUGUAUUGUAGGCAUAUAUGAUCGGACGAUAUGUGUUUGUUUAAGUGUACAUGAACAUAUACAUAUAACUUUAUGUGUUGUGUAUAUGAAUCUGCUUUAAUUUAUAUGUCAGUAUUUUCGUCGUCGUAGGAGUGGAAUAAGACCAAUUUAGCGAUUGGUCUCGUAGUUUGCCCCUUAGGUGCUUCCACAUCCACUACCCGUACUCUGUUGUCGGGAUCUGGGUGUAAUUUGGUGAUUCGUCCUAGUCUCCAUUCGUUGGGUGGAAUGUUGUGUUCUUUGAUGUCAAAUAGGUCCCCCAUUUUGAGGUUGGAUUGAGGAUGCCUCCAUUUGUUGCGCUUCUGCUCUAAGAUAUUCGGACUUCCAUCUUUUGCAGAAGGUUUGGUGUAGGGCCUUCAGUUUUUCCCAUCUGUUGACGAUUGAUAAGUUGGUGGUGCAUUAAGCACACUACCAACUAAAAAAUGACCUGGAGUAAGCGGCUCCAAGUCUGUAGAAUUGUUUGAGGACGGACUUAACGGUCGAGAGUUGAGACACGACUCGACUCGGCAUAGGAGGGUGCUAAACUCCUCGAACGUAAAUUUAUGAUCGUUUGCGAUUUUUCUAAAAUGAGUUUUAAAGCUUUUCACUCCUGCUUUCCAUGGACCACCCAUGUGAGGAGCUGCAGCGGGUAUAAACAGCCAAUUUAGGACCUGAUGUUGGUAUUUAGACAAUGCUCUAGAACGUGCAUCAGCUAUGAAGGCUGUGAGUUCGGCCUUCAAUGAUUUAGAAGCCCCUACAAAGUUGGUUCCAUUGUUCGAAUAUACAUAUUUGGACAUCCACGCCUGAUCAUGUUUUUGACCCUGGAAAUCCAGAAUUGUGAUCGGAUGAGCCGCAGCAUCAGACGAUUUUCCCCAUGGAUGGAUACUUGAUGGGCAAACUGGACAUAAAAACGGGACAACUUGGAACUAUAUGGAAGAAGAGUGUGAUGGCGCUCACUGUAAGAUAGGUCGGAAGAUGCGCUGAGACGCCCAUCAACUUUCAUAAUGCCAUAAUACUCUGUCGAUGAAUGGGUUAAGAAACAGGAUCUCACUUUUCCACACAAUGGAUUUUCCAGAUUUCAAUCGUUCAUAUUCUUCACUAUAAUAUCGUUUUUGACAAAUGUUUAUCAGACACUGAGUCGUCAACUUAAUUUCUUCGGGCGAAAUCAAGUUAGACUCUGUCUUAAAGAAUGAUUUUAUUUUCGGAUGUGUUCUCUGAUAGAAUCUCGUUAUAUAGCAGAUCACUCUCAAAGCUCGCGAAAAUCUAGAAAAUCUAUUCAGAAUAUCUUGGAAGUCGUUUACUGUUGAUGUUGUAUGAUUACGCACUCUUUUUUCCUCUAUAGUUGUUUGUUGUUUCGAUUUUCCAUAUCGUGUCGUCUUCUUGUAACCAAGAAGGUCCUUGCCACCACAAAAAGUAGUCGACUAAUUCACCGGCUGGUAAUCCUUUGCUGGCCAGGUCUGCUGGUUGAACAAAACUGGCGCGAUGAAGACUCAGAUCAUGGCGGCAGUUUUGUUCUCAACCUUUUGGAUUAUUUUGGUUACUCUAUGGGCAACAAAAUUUGACCAGAAACACGGUGGUUUUCGUAUCCAUGCUGAUACGAUGGCAGAAUCCGUCCAGAAAUAAGUGGUUAAAUUACCCAGAUUGAGUUGAUUGAUAAUGGAUUUCAUUUUUUCUGCAAGAAGUACUGCGCCACAUAAUUCUAGUCGAGGUAAAGAUAUCGUUUUGACUGGAGCUACUCGUGUUUUUUCCAUCAGUAGGCUAACGUUAUAUUUGCCUUCAACCAUAAUUUUUAGAAAAAUCGCAGCUGCAUAUGCUUUCUCUGAUGCGUCACAGAAUCCUUGUAUUUCUGCAGUGGCACGCGGUGUGGAAUUGGCCCAUCUUGGUAUACGGAUGAUGUUAAUUUCCGCAUACCUCCUUACAAAGGUCUGCCACCGAUUCAUGGUAAUUGACGACACAGUUUCGACCCAAUCGGUUCCCUCUAGCCAAAUGUUCUGCAUCAAGAUUUUGGCAACUACUAUGAUUGGUGCAAGCCAUCCAAGUGGAUCGAAUAGCUUGGCGAUCGCAGAAAGAAUUGCUCUCUUCGUGAUGAUUCCUUUGCUGUAUAUAGGUUUGCUAAUAAAGUAGAAAUAGUCAGACCGGGCAUUCCAUCUGAUUCCAAGAGCCUUUACGGUGCUAGUGUUUUCGAAUUCCAAAAAGUCUGUACUUAGCAAGUAUGCCAUCUAAUACUUGAGUGUUAUUGGAUGUCCAUUUGCGCAAAGGAAACCCAUAUGAUUUCAUUACUUUUGAUAUUUCCUCUCGAGCACGUAUUGUGGAAUCCGGAUUAUGUCCACCUGAAAGUAUGUCAUCUACGUGCAUAUAGUUACGGAGAAUGUUUAAUGAUAUCGGGUAGUUUUUCUCAACAUCAUCUGCUAACUGAUGUAAAGUCCUAAUAGCUAAGUAGGGCGCGCAGUUAAUGCCAAAAGUAACCGUUUUCAGCUCGAAAAAACUGAUAGGUUCCUCAGGGCUCUUACGAAAAACCAUUCUCUGGACUGUCGUGUGCUCCCGAUUCACCAUAAUCUGUCGAUACAUUUUCUCUAUAUCGCUGUUGAAGACAUACAUGUAAAACCUCUAUCGUAGUAUCAGAGUCGGGAGGUCUGCCUGCAUAAUUGGGCCGGGAUGUAGGACGUCAAUUAAACUUACGACAUUAGCAGUGGGGCAUGAGGCGUUGAAUACCACUUUAACUUUCAACACUGCGUGAUGAGGCAAAAAGUAGCAGUCAGUGGAGUCUUCUUGUAUGCUGAACGGAAAUUUAGACAUAUGGUCCAAAGUCCCGUAUUCACAUAGGACUGCUGUAUUUCGUCUGCAACUCAGGUUUUUUUGCCAAACGCGUUUCGUUGCGGUAGAACUGAGUGCACGCUCCUUUCAGCGAGGGUCCCAAAGAAAUAUCACUUGAAUAAUCGUGUUUGAAGGGUAAGGAGACCACAUAUUUUCCAUUAGCAUUCCUUUUGGUAAUUGCUUUGAAUAGCUCUUGGCAGUAUUUGUCAUUUUCUUUGAGGCUUACUUUCUUGCGAAGAUCUUCCGAUUCCCAAAAUGCAGUUAAUUUGUUUUCCAGGUCGGCUUCAAUGUAAAAGGAGACUAUAUUGUUUCCUGAAUGUGAAGUUUCGGUGCUGCCAGUUAUAAUCCAACCGAAUACGGUUUCUUGAGUGAGAAGCGUAUAUAACACAUUCUUUUCAAUUCCACCUAGCAUUAUUGUGGGUAUAUGUCUCCUCCUAAGACGAGAUCGACGGGAUCAUUUACAAAGAAUCUCUUAUCUGCCAAAACUAAUUCUGGGAAUGCUUGUUGCGUCAGUGCACUUACUUGGCAAGUGGGCAGGUCAAUUUUGGCAAGAUUAGAGCAAUUGCCUCUAGAUUUAUUAGAGGGUCAAUGGGUGACCGUAAUUGAGCGGCACACGCUUCUUUAACCUGCGCAGAUAUAGAUUUGUUGAUGCCCGAUACUUGGGCAUGCAAGCGUUUAGUCGGCAGAUUAAUUCGGCGUCUUAGUCUUUCAGUUAUGAAAGUGUAUUCAGAUCCGGAGUCUAUCAAUGCUCUGGCCGAGAAAUUGAUAACAUUGAAAAGGAUUUGUACCCGUGCUGUCUCCACUAGAACUCCUCUGUUUGUAUGUGCGUGACAUGAAUUUACAUUUUUAACUGAGUUAUGAUCUUCCUUUGCAGAUUCCAUUCUGUGCUGAGCCUGUCUGGAGGUCGAAGGUACGUCGUCUAUUGCAUAUGGAAGUCUCCUAGAACAUGUUGCUUCUGUCUGACUUGCUUGUGAAAGAUGGAGCAAAGUAUGAUGUCUGGAUCGACAUAUGCUGCAGUUAAACGGUCUUUAACAUAUUGUUACUGUAUGUCCGGCUGACAAGCAACUCAGGCAACGGUGAUUCCCUUUGAUAAAUUCAAUUCGCCGUGCUGGCGUUAAUUUGCUGAUUUCUUCGUAAUUUUGUUGGUUAUGCUCCGGACGUCGGCACGCUUUGCAUACAUUAUUGUUAAAACUCGCUUGAAAGGUGCCAAUUCUUUUCGGCCGUGCUUCUACAAGGUGCUGUGUGGGUACAAGAUUUGUUGUCCUUAAGACCUGAAACGGUAUCUAGUGUUUGAAACCGGUUUGAAAAGAACUUUUCCAUAUCCUUCCACUUGGAAAUCUCCGUUAUGUUUUCUAUGGUUUGUUCCCAUAGAGCUAAUGAGCAUUCCGGUAGCUUGGUUGAACAUAAAUAUGUCAAAAUAGCGUCCCAAUUCGAAAUGUCAAUGUUAUGACAUUGAAGUGACAAGAUGCAAUUACUGAUGUAUCGUUGUAAUUUCUUUAUGGAGCUACCGCAUUCGUUUUCAACUGCUUUUAAAUUGAAUAGAAUUUUCAACUGUGUAUUGACCAGAAUACGUUUAUUUUCGUAUCGGUCAACUAAGCUUUUUCAAUUUGAAACCAUCAUUGGUCAAUGGACACCUUCGUACUAUUUCCUUUGUCUCCCCUUGUGUUUUCUGGUUGAGGUGGAAUAACUUCUCAACGGGGGAUAGGCGUUGAUUUUGAAUACUAAUUGCUGUAAACAUGUCUCGGAAGGACGGCCAUGAAAGGUAAUCUCCUUUGAAAACUUCAGUGUCGCAAGGAGGCAAAUGUAUAUUGUGCUCCCGAAUGGUUAGAUUUUUCUACCUUUUCUGCAUCAUCCGCUAAGGCAGCCAUGCACCUCAUGUAACAGGAAAACUGCUUUUCUGCUUAGAUUUUACAGCCAGCCGUUAAUCUUUGGAAAGAUCUGAGUUAUUAAGGUUGUCUGGGGCUGAUUUGACUUUUCACCACAUAACCUUCAACUCAUUUUGAAAUGUAGGUAGGGUGUGUUUGUUCUGAUCUUCGUUUGGUGUCUCUUGAAAAUCAGAUUCAAACUCAGUGAUGGCAUCAGCCAUUAUAAUAAAGGACUCCAUUGUUAAGAAGAUUAAUUUAGAAAUACUGAUAUGUCAAUAUAGUGUAUGUAGCACAUUCUAUAUGUUUUCAGAUAAAAAACUAAUCGCUUAUUUCGUGGGAAUUCGUGAUUUAAGCGAAAUCACCUAAUAUGAAUUGGAGACACUAAACCAAGAGUUCUCCGUUAUCAACAAUAACAAUUUAAAACUUUGUUUUUUUUUUGUCAUUUUAUUUAAUUUGUAUAGUAGCCAAGAAAAGUUCAAAUAAUCCAAUGCUGAGUGGGUGUAUGUGCACCCGAGUGUAUAUAGUGGCGCGAACUCAAAAAAGGAAACGGAAGACAAUCUGUGCUGUAAUAUUUGCGAUUGUGAAACAAAGCCAAUUAAAACCUUAUUAAAUAAAUUAUAU
This is a long non-coding RNA of Ceratitis capitata (Mediterranean fruit fly), 5803 nucleotides long. RefSeq lists it as uncharacterized. The transcript is spliced from 3 exons. NCBI's taxonomy places the organism in Eukaryota, Metazoa, Arthropoda, Insecta, Diptera, Tephritidae. The record is from RefSeq and is a predicted model, not a curated record.